UAGGGAAUCUUCCGCAAUGGGCGAAAGCCUGACGGAGCAACGCCGCGUGAGUGAUGAAGGUCUUCGGAUCGUAAAACUCUGUUAUUAGGGAAGAACAUAUGUGUAAGUAACUGUGCACAUCUUGACGGUACCUAAUCAGAAAGCCACGGCUAACUACGUGCCAGCAGCCGCGGUAAUACGUAGGUGGCAAGCGUUAUCCGGAAUUAUUGGGCGUAAAGCGCGCGUAGGCGGGUUUUUAAGUCUGAUGUGAAAGCCCACGGCUCAACCGUGGAGGGUCAUUGGAAACUGGAAAACUUGAGUGCAGAAGAGGAAAGUGGAAUUCCAUGUGUAGCGGUGAAAUGCGCAGAGAUAUGGAGGAACACCAGUGGCGAAGGCGACUUUCUGGUCUGUAACUGACGCUGAUGUGCGAAAGCGUGGGGAUCAAACAGGAUUAGAUACCCUGGUAGUCCACGCCGUAAACGAUGAGUGCUAAGUGUUAGGGGGUUUCCGCCCCUUAGUGCUGCAGCUAACGCAUUAAGCACUCCGCCUGGGGAGUACGACCGCAAGGUUG
RNAcentral lists this ribosomal RNA (550 nucleotides) under uncultured bacterium. RNAcentral's name for it is "bacterial SSU rRNA". It matches the Rfam family "Bacterial small subunit ribosomal RNA", at positions 355 to 896 of the family's 1533-position model. The record is from RNAcentral.